GCUAGCUACAGGCUUAACACAUGCAAGUCGAGGGGCAGCAUGGUCUUAGCUUGCUAAGACUGAUGGCGACCGGCGCACGGGUGAGUAACACGUAUCCAACCUGCCGUCUACUCUUGGACAGCCUUCUGAAAGGAAGAUUAAUACAAGAUGGCAUCAUGAGUCCGCAUGUUCACAUGAUUAAAGGUAUUCCGGUAGACGAUGGGGAUGCGUUCCAUUAGAUAGUAGGCGGGGUAACGGCCCACCUAGUCUUCGAUGGAUAGGGGUUCUGAGAGGAAGAUCCCCCACAUUGGAACUGAGACACGGUCCAAACUCCUACGGGAGGCAGCAGUGAGGAAUAUUGGUCAAUGGGCGAGAGCCUGAACCAGCCAAGUAGCGUGAAGGAUGACUGCCCUAUGGGUUGUAAACUUCUUUUAUAAAGGAAUAAAGUCGGGUAUGCAUACCCGUUUGCAUGUACUUUAUGAAUAAGGAUCGGCUAACCCCGUGCCAGCAGCCGCGGUAAUACGGAGGAUCCGAGCGUUAUCCGGAUUUAUUGGGUUUAAAGGGAGCGUAGAUGGAUGUUUAAGUCAGUUGUGAAAGUUUGCGGCUCAACCGUAAAAUUGCAGUUGAUACUGGAUAUCUUGAGUGCAGUUGAGGCAGGCGGAAUUCGUGGUGUAGCGGUGAAAUGCUUAGAUAUCACGAAGAACUCCGAUUGCGAAGGCAGCCUGCUAAGCUGCAACUGACAUUGAGGCUCGAAAGUGUGGGUAUCAAACAGGAUUAGAUACCCUGGUAGUCCACACGGUAAACGAUGAAUACUCGCUGUUUGCGAUAUACUGCAAGCGGCCAAGCGAAAGCGUUAAGUAUUCCACCUGGGGAGUACGCCGGCAACGGUGAAACUCAAAGGAAUUGACGGGGGGCCCGCACAAGCGGAGGAACAUGUGGUUUAAUUCGAUGAUACGCGAGGAACCUUACCCGGGCUUAAAUUGCAGAUGAAUUACGGUGAAAGCCGUAAGCCGCAAGGCAUCUGUGAAGGUGCUGCAUGGUUGUCGUCAGCUCGUGCCGUGAGGUGUCGGCUUAAGUGCCAUAACGAGCGCAACCCUUGUUGUCAGUUACUAACAGGUUCCGCUGAGGACUCUGACAAGACUGCCAUCGUAAGAUGUGAGGAAGGUGGGGAUGACGUCAAAUCAGCACGGCCCUUACGUCCGGGGCUACACACGUGUUACAAUGGGGGGUACAGAGGGCCGCUACCACGCGAGUGGAUGCCAAUCCCAAAAACCUCUCUCAGUUCGGACUGGAGUCUGCAACCCGACUCCACGAAGCUGGAUUCGCUAGUAAUCGCGCAUCAGCCACGGCGCGGUGAAUACGUUCCCGGGCCUUGUACACACCGCCCGUCAAGCCAUGGGAGCCGGGGGUACCUGAAGUGCGUAACCGCGAGGAGCGCCCUAGGGUAAAACUGGUGACUGGGGCUAAGU
This 1448-nucleotide ribosomal RNA is filed under the name uncultured organism. RNAcentral's name for it is "SSU rRNA". It matches the Rfam family "Bacterial small subunit ribosomal RNA". The record is from RNAcentral.